RNAcentral lists this long non-coding RNA (2058 nucleotides) under Gallus gallus (chicken). RNAcentral's name for it is "long non-coding RNA NONGGAT011892". The record is from RNAcentral. Lineage: Eukaryota; Metazoa; Chordata; Aves; Galliformes; Phasianidae.
CUUUUGGACAUUUUCUGGAGCUGCCUUUAAACCACAGCUUAUGCUGUCAAUGACUGCAGCCAUGGCAUGUUGCAUUUCUUUAGUCGACUUGGUUGCCACAAGAAUGUCAUCCACUGUAUGGGAACUGUUGAAUCACGACCUGAACCUCUGAUGGAUCACCUGAGGCAAGCACUGAGUCAGCUGUGGGAGCACAGGUGAAGGCAAUUCACCUUUGUGACCAGAAGGGGUGGAGCCUGUCUCUACCUUUCCUAGACCCCAUUUAAGGGCUGACUGCCACUGGGAAAGGAUCUCUUUCUCGAGAUUGCUCCCUUUGGAGUUUUUCUGCAAGCCUAAGACAUGGGUAAGCACUUGCAUUUAUUUUUGAUCAUCCCUUUCCACCUUGAUAAUCCUUCUAGUUAUGUGACGUGUAAAAUACCAGCCUAACCACACCACUCUGCCAAUUGUAUAUUUGCUGAUCGUGCAUCCAUGUAAUGAUAACAGUAUUAAACAGUUUUUGCCUCUCAGGGGUUAAGGCUCUGGCAACAAACUGUUGACAGAUCAUGGGGCUAUUUUUCAUGCCCUGAGCUAAUACCGUCCAAUGAUACCGCUGGGUUUGUGCUGACACAUUUACAGAAGGGACAGAAAAAGCAAACUGAAGAGCAUCAUUGGGAUUCAAGGGGAUGUUGAGAAAGCAGUCUUUUAAGUCAAUAGUGAGCCAGGCACCAUGAGCAAUCACAGUCACAUCAGAGCCUGUGUCCAAAAUCCCUGAAAUGUCAGAUCUUUGUGGGGGGUUGCCCGAUUCCAGCAUACAGGCUAAGGUAUGUUGAGCAUCUGAGACCUUUUAGGUCCAUAAUAUCUGAGGGGCCCCUGUAGACUCAACCCCUGUACCCCCCCUGUUCACAGAUGCAGCUGGCACCAACUUUGCCCAAAAGUAAACCAGUUGAGCAAUAUUAGCACCUGCUGGUACUUCACAUGGAGGCAUGGAUGUCCAGAGCAUAAUUUUAAUCUCUCCAGUAUAAUCAGCAUCUAUAAGUCCAGGUAACACAAAAAGACCUUGCACUGUGGCUGAUGAACGUCCUAAAAGCAAAGCGCUCAGACCAUUUCCCAACGGACCAUUUACCCUGGUAGCCACUGCUCACAGUAAUGUGCAAUCAAGGGUUACUGGUUCAGAGGUGGCCAGGUCCACUCCCUUGCUGCCACGGGUCCUGGCGUAUAUGUGGGGGACGUUGGAAUCGGUUGUGGUGUUGAUGUCCGUGCUGGGGCUACUUGUGCUGUUACGCGCCUCCACCGCACGUUCCGACUCCCGUUUCCCUGCACGAACUGCCCGUCCUCUACAGUACCUCGAACAGGCUCCCAGUCCUGGGGUCCUCGGACCUAUUUAUUAGUACAGUCUCAGCUUACAUGACCUGAUUGUUUGCACGCGAAGCAGUUUCAUGAAUUCCAUUUCAUGACUGCGUCGCGGCGAACGAUGAGGAGGGGGAGCUGAGGACAGCUGUGGGGCAACAACCCGGAGUGGACCGCGGCCGAACGGAUGCGGGCGCCUCCCAGUGGCGGCGGCGCUCUCCGGGGGGCCGCGAUUUUCCUUCUCCCCGGCCGGGAGCGGGGUUGGAGUCGUGACUCGGAUCCCGGCAGGAGCUGCUUCCCGCGGCGGGGAGUGCGAUGGGGAACGGUCCGAAGAAUUUGUCCUUCCUCGUUGAAUUUCUUUGAGCACUUUCGAUAUUUGGCGCGAAACAGGCAAAAGUUUAUCAGCUGUUUUAUCUUCAGGAAAAGGAGUCGGGUUCUUUCUCCGUGUCGACGGGCCCGGGAUCCAGCGGAUUCUAUGACCCAUCCCGCCGAUUGUUUAAGGUCGCGCCUAACGACGGAGGCGCCGCAGAUUCUGCCGAGCCUGCCGAACUGGUUGUGGAGUGUUGGCAUUCUGUGAUCUAUGAAGUUGCUACUGCAAAAGUGUCUCACAUCUUGAGAUGACUUAGGAAUCGUACGUGAGCUGGAAAUGCUGCUUAAAUUGAGGAAAUAUUUACAACUAACACAAGGUAUUUGUGCAUUAAACUAUUUCAGUAUUCCAAUAAAAGGAGAUGUCUG